RNAcentral lists this ribosomal RNA (479 nucleotides) under uncultured bacterium. RNAcentral describes it as "partial 16S ribosomal RNA". It matches the Rfam family "Bacterial small subunit ribosomal RNA", at positions 28 to 507 of the family's 1533-position model. The record is from RNAcentral.
GACGAACGCUGGCGGCGUGCUUAACACAUGCAAGUCGAACGCUGAAGCUCAGCUUUUGUUGGGUGGAUGAGUGGCGAACGGGUGAGUAACACGUGAGUAACCUGCCUCCUUCUUUGGGAUAACGCCCGGAAACGGGUGCUAAUACUGGAUAUUCACUGGUCUUCGCAUGGGGGUUGGUGGAAAGGGUUUUUCUGGUGGGGGAUGGGCUCGCGGCCUAUCAGCUUGUUGGUGGGGUGAUGGCCUACCAAGGCUUUGACGGGUAGCCGGCCUGAGAGGGUGACCGGUCACAUUGGGACUGAGAUACGGCCCAGACUCCUACGGGAGGCAGCAGUGGGGAAUAUUGCACAAUGGGCGCAAGCCUGAUGCAGCGACGCCGCGUGAGGGAGGCCUUCGGGUUGUGAACCUCUUUCGCUCAUGGUCAAGCCGCAACAAUGGUUGUGGUGAGGGUAGUGGGUAAAGAAGCGCCGGCUAACUACGUG